CUUUGUCCUAGUCCUACUAACACUCAUUAAAAACCAGCACUAUGUAUGAGUGCUGUGCCACUGCUGUCUCUGUAACUGGCAGCACUUGCUUAGGGCUCCUAAGAUUGGCUCCUUAUGGGGUUGGCUUUUUCAUGAACUUCGGUGUGAGAAACAGGGUCUUCCUUGGAUGCCUUUGAAUUGUGCCCUCUACCAAAUACCCUCCCACCUUGUAGACAGAGACAUGGAGGGAAAAUAGAGAAGAGUAAGAAAAAGUGAUGGAGGAAGGAAGAGGAAAAGAAGCAAGGAUCCAAAAUGCAAAUGUGGGACAUUUUAGAAGAGCAGAACGUUGCAUUUCAGCCUUCCUGUCUGAUAUAACCCAUCUGGUGACUGCAUUCAAAAGAGCCCUACCAAGAAUAUUUUCAUGGAGUUAUUUUUCCACUGUGUAUUUCACACUUCAUCUUUGCAGGAGAAUGGAUGGAUUUACUUGGCACGUAGCAGGGGACAGUCUGUGGAAAGAAGUGAGAAGGAUAAUCCAAUAGCAAAAGUGAGGGGUGAUGAAGAGUGAAAGGUACCAACGUCCCCUUCCGCAUAUUCCUCUCCACUCUCUCAGUAUUGGAAUCUAAGUCUGAAGUUUUAGACAAGGCUCAGGGACGGCUUAAACUGUAGAUGCAGUUCCCUUCUCUAGUCCCAAAGGCUCCCAGUCAGCCCUAGGCCUUGUGUAGGGAGCUUCCAAAUGCCUACUCAAGGUUUAAUUAAUUUUCUGCAAAAAAUGAUUGGUUGACAUGACAGCAAUAAACAUCAAAUUCCAUUAAUUAAUACUGAGACAUCAGUGUCCACGCUGCUUCUCAAUUACACAUUCAGAGGCAGCCACGCUUAUGCUGGCAUCAAUUUGGUCGUGA
Molecule: long non-coding RNA, 878 nt
Filed under: Homo sapiens (human)
Lineage: Eukaryota; Metazoa; Chordata; Mammalia; Primates; Hominidae
Description: HSALNT0096757
Source: RNAcentral